RNAcentral lists this unclassified non-coding RNA (680 nucleotides) under Leishmania donovani. Its description in RNAcentral is "gene:unknown". Lineage: Eukaryota; Euglenozoa; Kinetoplastea; Trypanosomatida; Trypanosomatidae. The record is from RNAcentral.
CGUGGGCACUUUUUGCACGUGUCUUUGCGUGCUGCCUCUGUCUGUCGGGCGCGCACUUCGACCAGCAUCUUUACGACCGCCCCAUUCAACAAACCAUGUGAGGAUGAUGAUGACGAGGGUCGACACUGUGAGGGGGGGGGCUGCAGAGGAGAAGCGGCAGCAGCGGCAGCGAGGUUGCCGGUCUGCAGCACAUCCGGGGGCAUGCGGACGCCCUUGCUCACCUAACAAACGCUCUUGUGGGCACUGAGGAGUUUGCAGACGGCACCUGCCACUUGCGGUGUGGGAUGGACACGGCCGAUGUAACGCCUCAUCAUCGGCGCUGCCUUUUGUUGCUUCUCUCUCUCUCCUACCUACUCGGUUGGACUGCUAUGGGCAGCGUAUAUGGGUGCACGGGCGCCUGCGUGACUCUCAAUCUGCAGAACACCCACACGCGCACCUACGCACAUACACGUGACAACGCGCUAGUCCCGGUGUUCUCUCCUUCCACUCUGCCCCAGCCUUCUCCUUUCGCACCUCAUCACACUGAACUUGUGUGUCACGCUCUCGUAUUGCCAUGGAACGCGCUUCUCACACGUCCAUACACUGAACUCCUCGGAUCCACAUCCACAUCCCAUGCUACUCCCUCUCUCCACGCACACGCAAACCGUUGCACAUACACACAAAUAUGCGCAUGCAAAUAG